GACGUAGGGCGCGAGCGUUGUCCGGAUUUAUUGGGCGUAAAGAGCUCGUAGGCGGCUUGUCGCGUCGUUCGUGAAAACCCACGGCUCAACUGUGGGCUUGCGGUCGAUACGGGCAGGCUGGAGUUCGGUAGGGGAGACUGGAAUUCCUGGUGUAGCGGUGAAAUGCGCAGAUAUCAGGAAGAACACCCGUGGCGAAGGCGGCUCUCUGGGACGGUACUGACGCUGAGACGCGAAAGCGUGGGGAGCGAACAGG
This 253-nucleotide ribosomal RNA is filed under the name uncultured bacterium. RNAcentral's name for it is "partial 16S ribosomal RNA". It matches the Rfam family "Bacterial small subunit ribosomal RNA", at positions 524 to 776 of the family's 1533-position model. The record is from RNAcentral.